AGCGUAUAUUAAAGUUGUUGCAGUUAAAAAGCUCGUAGUUGGAUUUCUGUUAAUAAUUUAUAUAAAAUAUUUUGAUGAAUAUUUAUAUAAUAUUAACAUAAUUCAUAUUACUAUUUUUUUUAGUAUAUGAAAUUUUACUUUGAGAAAAUUAGAGUGCUUAAAGCAGGCAUAUGCCUUGAAUACUCCAGCAUGGAAUAAUAUUAAAGAUUUUUAUCUUUUUUAUUGGUUCUAAGAUAAGAAUAAUGAUUAAUAGGGACAGUUGGGGGCAUUUGUAUUUAACAGUCAGAGGUGAAAUUCUUAGAUUUGUUAAAGACAAACUAAUGCGAAAGCAUUUGCCAAGGAUGUUUUCAUUAAUCAAGAACGAAAGUUAGGGGAUCGAAGACGAUCAGAUACCGUCGUAGUCUUAACCAU
This 411-nucleotide ribosomal RNA is filed under the name Cryptosporidium hominis. Its description in RNAcentral is "partial small subunit ribosomal RNA". It matches the Rfam family "Eukaryotic small subunit ribosomal RNA", at positions 596 to 1033 of the family's 1831-position model. The record is from RNAcentral. Lineage: Eukaryota; Apicomplexa; Conoidasida; Eucoccidiorida; Cryptosporidiidae.